GUGGUGUGGGCUGGGCCGGGUCGAACCGGGCCGGGCUGGGCCGAGUCUAAUUGGCUGGAGAUGGGAGCGGUAAAGGCGGUGCUGAUCGGACCCACCCCCCCCGUCCGCAGGUGUCCGUCCCUAUAAGUGCAGCCUAUGCGAGAAAGCCUUUACCCAGCGCUGUUCCUUGGAAUCCCACCUCAAGAAGAUCCACGGGGUGCAGCAGCAAUACGCCUACAAACAGAGGCGAGACAAACUGUACGUGUGUGAGGAAUGCGGGGGGACGGCGGACAGCCAGGACGCCCACCUGGCCCAUCUCCGCCAGCGCCAUCCCCACAGCCCCCUCCUCGCUAAGCUGGCACGGAAAGCGGCCGCAGCCGCCGCCCCCCAACCCCGCCCCCAGCCCCCCAUGGCGCCCCGAAUGCUGCCUCCCCCAUAGGGACACGUGGAGCCUUGGCCACGCCCCCCCGAGGCUCAGCCCACGCCCCUUGUGGCUCCAAGCUCCGCCCAUUUCGCCCCAACAGGCCACGCCCCCCACCGGACAUUGGCUCUGCCCAGCACAAGCCCCGCCCCCACGCCGAAGCCCCGCCCAUCCCUCAGGCAGGCCCCGCCCCCUGCUCUGCCCCCUCCCCUUUCCCCCUCCCCUAUGGUGCUCUAUAAUGGGGAGUGGGCAGGUGCUGUGUGAUGGGGAAGGACCCCUCAGCCCCCCACUCCAUAAAGCUUUCCGUGCUCAUCGAGAGCCUCCCGGCCGUUCUAAGGGGUCCUCGCGAGAUAGGACACCUCCCAGCACGGGGGGAAGGGGGGAAGGUGAGGACCCCCUAUAGCCUUUGUAACCCCCUCCCCAUCGUCCCCCCCCCCCAAAAGGCUUUAAGACAAGGCAGUUAGUCCAGUCUUUAUUGCCCUCCGCUCUGGGGGGGCCGAUGGGGAGGGCACACGGGGUGGGGGCAACAGGGUGAGCCCCCCCCCCUUCCUUCCCCCCUCCCUUCCAGCCUUCCAGGUUUGUUCCCAUGGAGGAGGGGGGGGGGAUGACGACCCUCACUCCUAAUUCCAGUCCUUUCCCAGCCUUUGGUCACAGACUCUGUACA
Molecule: long non-coding RNA, 1064 nt
Filed under: Coturnix japonica (Japanese quail)
Lineage: Eukaryota; Metazoa; Chordata; Aves; Galliformes; Phasianidae
Description: lncRNA (ENSCJPG00005006713.1)
Source: RNAcentral